GCAUGUCAAGAGCUGACUCAGCUGGAAGAGUAAAGACCUGAUGAGACAUUUGUUAGAACAGGCCUGCUGGUCCUGUUCCUUUCCACAGCAGAACCUCAGGGAGUGCUUUGAGAGCCUCCCAGACUGCAGAAAGUCUGUUUUCAGUUUCUGAUGACUGACUCUGCAUUGGGUAAACUUCUGACUCUUCUGAAAGCUCCCUGGUAGAGACUCUGAGAGCAAAGGCCACCCAACAAAGGAAAAAAAUUGAGCAGAGAGAGAACGAAAUUAAUCACGUCAUUUGGAUUUUUAAGUACAUAUUAUAUAAAGAGAUUCUGCACAUUGAGG
Choloepus didactylus (southern two-toed sloth) is the source of this 324-nucleotide long non-coding RNA. RefSeq lists it as uncharacterized. The transcript is spliced from 3 exons. The record is from RefSeq and is a predicted model, not a curated record. NCBI's taxonomy places the organism in Eukaryota, Metazoa, Chordata, Mammalia, Pilosa, Megalonychidae.